GCUUGAAUAGUUUAAAGGAAAACGUUGGUUUGUGGAGCCAGAGAUAUAGUUAAAUAUUUCAAGCA
This 65-nucleotide transfer RNA is filed under the name Palaemon longirostris. RNAcentral's name for it is "tRNA-His". It matches the Rfam family "tRNA". From Rfam's summary of the family: Transfer RNA (tRNA) molecules are approximately 80 nucleotides in length. Their secondary structure includes four short double-helical elements and three loops (D, anti-codon, and T loops). The record is from RNAcentral. Lineage: Eukaryota; Metazoa; Arthropoda; Malacostraca; Decapoda; Palaemonidae.